RNAcentral lists this ribosomal RNA (371 nucleotides) under uncultured organism. RNAcentral's name for it is "bacterial SSU rRNA". It matches the Rfam family "Bacterial small subunit ribosomal RNA", at positions 526 to 896 of the family's 1533-position model. The record is from RNAcentral.
CAGAGGGUGCGAGCGUUGUUCGGAAUUAUGGGCGUAAAGGGCGCGUAGGCGGCGCCACAAGUCACUUGUGAAAACUCUGGGCUCAACUCAGAGCCUGCAAGCGAAACUGUGGUGCUGGAGUAUGGGAGAGGUGCGUGGAAUUCCCGGUGUGGCGGUGAAAUGCGUAGAUAUCGGGAGGAACACCUGUGGCGAAAGCGGCGCACUGGACCAUAACUGACGCUGAGGCGCGAAAGCUAGGGGAGCAAACAGGAUUAGAUACCCUGGUAGUCCUAGCCCUAAACUAUGGAUGCUUGGUGUGAUCGGUACCCAAUCCGAUCGUGCCGAAGCUAACGCGAUAAGCAUCCCGCCUGGGGAGUACGGUCGCAAGACUG